GUGAGGAAUAUUGGUCAAUGGACGAGAGUCUGAACCAGCCAAGUCGCGUGAAGGAAGACGGUUCUAUGAAUUGUAAACUUCUUUUGUGCAGGAAUAAAGUGGGUUACGUGUAACCUUUUGUAUGUACUGUACGAAUAAGGAUCGGCUAACUCCGUGCCAGCAGCCGCGGUAAUACGGAGGAUCCGAGCGUUAUCCGGAUUUAUUGGGUUUAAAGGGUGCGUAGGUGGAUUGAUAAGUCAGCGGUGAAAGUUUGCAGCUUAACUGUAAAAUUGCCGUUGAAACUGUCGGUCUUGAGUGCAAAUGAGGUAGGCGGAAUGUGUUGUGUAGCGGUGAAAUGCUUAGAUAUAACACAGAACUCCGAUUGCGAAGGCAGCUUACUGGGAUGCAACUGACACUGAUGCACGAAAGCGUGGGGAUCAAACAGGAUUAGAAACCCUGGUAGUCC
This 445-nucleotide ribosomal RNA is filed under the name uncultured bacterium. RNAcentral's name for it is "partial 16S ribosomal RNA". It matches the Rfam family "Bacterial small subunit ribosomal RNA", at positions 354 to 796 of the family's 1533-position model. The record is from RNAcentral.